ACGCACGCUGGCGGCGUGCUUCACACAUGCAAGUCGAACGGAAAGGCCCUGCUUUUGUGGGGUGCUCGAGUGGCGAACGGGUGAGUAACACGUGAGUAACCUGCCCUUGACUUUGGGAUAACUUCAGGAAACUGGGGCUAAUACCGGAUAGGAGCUCCUGCUGCAUGGUGGGGGUUGGAAAGUUUCGGCGGUUGGGGAUGGACUCGCGGCUUAUCAGCUUGUUGGUGGGGUAGUGGCUUACCAAGGCUUUGACGGGUAGCCGGCCUGAGAGGGUGACCGGCCACAUUGGGACUGAGAUACGGCCCAGACUCCUACGGGAGGCAGCAGUGGGGAAUAUUGCACAAUGGGCCGAAGCCUGAUGCAGCAACGCCGCGUGCGGGAUGACGGCCUUCGGGUUGUAAACCGCUUUCGCCUGUGACGAAGCGUGAGUGACGGUAAUGGGUAAAGAAGCACCGGCUAACUACGUG
Molecule: ribosomal RNA, 467 nt
Filed under: uncultured bacterium
Lineage: Bacteria
Description: partial 16S ribosomal RNA
Rfam family: Bacterial small subunit ribosomal RNA
Source: RNAcentral